RNAcentral lists this ribosomal RNA (474 nucleotides) under uncultured bacterium. RNAcentral's name for it is "bacterial SSU rRNA". It matches the Rfam family "Bacterial small subunit ribosomal RNA", at positions 28 to 507 of the family's 1533-position model. The record is from RNAcentral.
GACGAACGCUGGCGGCGCGCCUAACACAUGCAAGUCGAGCGGAGAUAUACGAAGAGUAAUCCGAGUAUAUCUUAGCGGCGGACGGGUGAGUAACGCGUGAGUGACCUGCCUCUUACAGGGGAAUAACGUGCCGAAAGGCACACUAAUACCGCAUAAGACCACGAAACCGCAUGGUUAUGAGGUCAAAGGAGCAAUCCGGUAAGAGAUGGGCUCGCGUCCGAUUAGAUAGUUGGUGAGGUAACGGCCCACCAAGUCGACGAUCGGUAGCCGACCUGAGAGGGUGAUCGGCCACAUUGGAACCUGAGAGACGGUCCAAACUCCUACGGGAGGCAGCAGUGGGGAAUAUUGGGCAAUGGGGGAAACCCUGACCCAGCGACGCCGCGUGAGGGAAGAAGGUUUUCGGAUCGUAAACCUCUGUUGUACGGGAAGAAGGAAUUGACGGUACCGUACGAGUAAGCCCCGGCAAACUACGUG